This 437-nucleotide ribosomal RNA is filed under the name uncultured bacterium. RNAcentral describes it as "bacterial SSU rRNA". It matches the Rfam family "Bacterial small subunit ribosomal RNA", at positions 954 to 1392 of the family's 1533-position model. The record is from RNAcentral.
AUGGGAACGCGAAGAACCUUACCUAGACUUGACAUCUUCUGCAUUAAUCGUAAUGGAUGAAAUCCCUUCGGGGACAGAAUGACAGGUGGUGCAUGGUUGUCGUCAGCUCGUGUCGUGAGAUGUUGGGUUAAGUCCCGCAACGAGCGCAACCCUUAUUACUAGUUGCUACCAUUAAGUUGAGCACUCUAGUGAGACUGCCCGGGUUAACCGGGAGGAAGGCGGGGAUGACGUCAAAUCAUCAUGCCCCUUAUGUCUAGGGCUACACACGUGCUACAAUGGUGGGAACAAAGAGAUGCAAUACCGCAAGGUGGAGCUAAACUCAAAACCCCAUCCCAGUUCGGAUUGUAGGCUGAAACUCGCCUACAUGAAGCUGGAGUUGCUAGUAAUCGCGAAUCAGAAUGUCGCGGUGAAUACGUUCCCGGGUCUUGUACACACCG